Molecule: long non-coding RNA, 631 nt
Organism: Prionailurus viverrinus (fishing cat)
Lineage: Eukaryota; Metazoa; Chordata; Mammalia; Carnivora; Felidae
Exons: 3
Source: RefSeq, a predicted model, not a curated record
AGGCCCCUUUUGAAAGUAGAUGUGGCCCAUGGCUUCACUUGAUCUGCGUACUGGGGCAGAAGUGAUGAGGUGUAGGGAUGCAGCCACCUCUCCGUGCUCCCCAUUCCGGGCCCCGUCACCGUGAGCAUGUUCUGUGAUGGGGCCUUCAGCAUCCUGCUUCGUUGAGUGACGAUGAGCAGAGCCCCAUUGUGGCUCGAGUAUGAACAAGAAAUAAGUUGAGCACCCUUUCAGAGCAAAAUUUGCUUGAAACUUGCUGGCUACUCAGUUCCUCUGCAGCGCAGAUCCACUUCAGGCUGGGCCCUGUCAUCUCAACAACAUUCACUGGAGCCCUGAUUCACGCCAGGCAUUAAUGACAGAUGGGAUGGGGAGACAAAGUCUCUGUCACUAAAGAGAUCACCAGACUAUAAACAAAUGAUUAUCAAAGAGAUGGCGGGUGUAUGGCUAAGGAACAUUUUGUCCCAUGAGAUAUGAAGGGAGAGUAGCUGCCUGGAAGAUGUGGGCCCAGGACUGGAAAACAUUAUCCAUACUGUUUGGCACAAGGUUGGGAUCAAAAGGUGAACUGUUACAUCUAACGCUCAUAUUACCUACAAGUUGAACAAGGACUACAAAGGCUCAUGAGACAGGAAUGCUG